This 225-nucleotide ribosomal RNA is filed under the name Clostridioides difficile. RNAcentral's name for it is "partial 16S ribosomal RNA". It matches the Rfam family "Bacterial small subunit ribosomal RNA", at positions 1315 to 1533 of the family's 1533-position model. The record is from RNAcentral. Lineage: Bacteria; Bacillati; Bacillota; Clostridia; Peptostreptococcales; Peptostreptococcaceae.
CCUACAUGUAGGUGGAGUCACUAGUAAUCGCAGAUCAGAAUGCUGCGGGGAAUGCGUUCCCGGGUCUUGUACACACCGCCCGUCACACCACGGGAGUUGGAGACGCCCGAAGCCGAUUAUCUAACCUGUUGGAAGAAGUCGUCGAAGGUGGAAUCAAUAACUGGGGUGAAGUCGUAACAAGGUAGCCGUAUCGGAAGGUGCGGCUGGAUCACCUCCUUUCUAAGG